AUAACAAUAACGCUCAGUAAGACGCUAUAUAAAAUGUUGUGCUAAACCAAAUAAUAACAUAAAUAAAACGCUAUUGUAUCCUCAUCAUCAUCAUUCUACUCCUCCUCUUAACCCUUAUUAUCUACGCCACAGUUUCCAAAUCCUCCCACAACCGUCACAACACAUGGCAACAACCUCCCCCUCCUCCAAUAGCUCAGAUCCGCCAAGCGUGUAACGCCACACGUUUCCCAGACCACUGCUUCUCCUCCCUCUCCAAACCGGGUCUGGUCCCGCAAGAUCCUAAGCCGGUUCAGAUCAUCCACUCGGAUAUCUCACUCUCCUUCGAGACUCUCAAUUCCGGUCAGUCUCAAAUCAAAUCAAUCCUAGACUCCUCCGCAGGGAAUAAAAACCGCACGAACAUCGUCACCAUUUGCCUCCAGAUACUAUCUUACUCGUAGCACUGAACGGAGUCGUCGGACGUCGCAGUCACGAGCGGGGCAAUCAAAGACGCACGUGCGUGGAUGAGCGCAGCUCUCGCUUACCAGUACGACUGCUGGUCAGGUCUCAAAGCCCACCUAUUCUGAAACUUGUGAAGUUACUUCCAUUUGUGUUUCACUCUAGCAGUUUAGUCUGACUGUCUGUAUUCAUCUUACCAAACAUUACAUAGAAUGUCUUAAGCUUAUUCCCCACUCCAAAUUUUCCUUUGCAAAAAUAUGGUUGCCGGUGCUCGGCAGAUAUGAGGAAACGCUAUUGGGAAAGCUCCAAAAGAUAAGAUAUUGAAGAACUACAUUGAGAUUGAGCUCCAGCUGGGAAACAUAGAUAGAUGUAGAAAGCUUUAUGAGCUUUUGAGUGGUCUCCAGAGAAUUUCUAUGCUUGGAGCAAAUACGCUGAGCUAGAGAGGUCUCUUGCUGAGACUGGACUAGCUAGAACUAUCUUUGAGCUUGCAAUAUCUCAGCCAGCACUUGACAUGCCCUAACUGCUAUGGAAGGCGUACAUAGGUUUUGAGAUAUCAGAAGGAGAAUCAGAGAGGAGACGAGGUUAAUAUGAGAGACUAUUGGACCGCACAAAGCAUUACAAGGUGUGGCGGUGUAGGUUAGUUUUGCAAAGUUUGAAGCUUAUGCUGCAGAACAAGAAGAAGAUGAGGGAGAGGAAGACCAAGAAGAAAUAGAUGCUAUUGAACUCCAGAAAGAGUGCUUCAGACGUGCCUGAGAUAAUUUAAAACUACAUGUUAUAUGAAUUUUGAUUAUAACCUUGAGACAUGUAUUAACUGUUUUUUUCUCUCUCUAUCUUCUUUCUUCUGAUCAUCUAUAUUCGAGAGAGCCAACAACUACUAAUUAAAAAGACUGCACCCGAGUAGAAAGAAGAAUGAGCUACACUAUUGGAAGAUUGGCUUAACAUGUAGACUAAUUUUGGUAAUCUCGAGUAUGUGAGUGUGGUACAAUCUAAGCUCCCGAAGAAGUUCAAGAAAUCAUUAGAGAAGAUGGGUCUACAGAGUAUGAAGAAUACAUUGAUUACCUAUAUCCAGAAAAAAUCACAGACAACAAAUCUCAAGAUUCUUGAAGCUGCUUACAAGUGGAAGAAGCAGAAACUUGCAGCUUCUGAGAAGGAUUACGAUUAUUACGAAGUUUCUUUUGAGUUAUAUCAAAACUGUGAGUUGAUGUUUUGUAUACUUUCUUAGUUCUCUGUACAUCGCCACUCACCCUUUAUGAUUUUGCUGUUAUUUUUUUUUUAUUGUGUUAAAACUCACUGUUAUUGUUUUUGUUUAUUUUAGCAUUAUUGUUAUGUUAUAGUCCUUCGGUAAGUCCUCUGUACAUCGCCAUUGUUAUUGUUUUUGUUUAUUUUGGCAUUUUUGAUUGUGUUAAAACUCACUGUUAGUUCUAUAUGUACAUCGCCAUUGUUGUUAUGUUAUAGUCCUUCGGUUUACUAACAUGUAUCUAACAAUUGCUUAAACUUUUAGUUUGUUUUAUAUUUGUCAUACAUUAAAUUUUGUCUUUAUUGGUUUUUGAAUUUUUUUUUUCCUUAAAAUUUCAGAGUAUUGACUUGUAAUUCCAUUUUGAAAUCGAAUGUAGGCCUCAUGGUGUUGUUGAAUUGAGUGGUAUUGUAAAAACAAAAUCCAAUGUAGUUCUGAAAAUAAAACCUUAUACUUUUUUUGUUAAAUAACAAACACAAACUUCUAGCAAUGUUUAUAGUAGAAACAUGUGGUCACACU
Long non-coding RNA from Brassica napus (rape), 2188 nucleotides. RefSeq lists it as uncharacterized. The record is from RefSeq and is a predicted model, not a curated record. Lineage: Eukaryota; Viridiplantae; Streptophyta; Magnoliopsida; Brassicales; Brassicaceae. The transcript is spliced from 4 exons.